Long non-coding RNA from Thalassophryne amazonica, 1335 nucleotides. RefSeq lists it as uncharacterized. The record is from RefSeq and is a predicted model, not a curated record. The transcript is spliced from 2 exons. NCBI's taxonomy places the organism in Eukaryota, Metazoa, Chordata, Actinopteri, Batrachoidiformes, Batrachoididae.
AAGAGAAUAUGCGGCAGCAAAGGCAGUCCUCAAGGAGAAUAAUAUACGUUUCCAAUUGCCUUUUCCGGCGAGGCUGAGAGUGCACUACAGUGAAGGGGUGGUGACCUAUAACACAGCGCAUGAGGCAACGACGGAUAUGGUGAUGAGAGGAUUGUUGGUAGAUGUUGUGAAGAACCGAGAUACUCUUUUGGAUCAGAUAAGGCAACAGUCCUGGCAAACAAGCGCAAAGAAGAAGAAACAGGGAAACACGGUCCAAAAGCAGGGCUUCAAGGAGCGGCUUCAGGCUUUCAUCAGGAUAACAUCAGGAUAACUGUGGGUAAAUGAGUGUGGGCUGCUGUGAUGGAGCAUCAUAUUAGAGCUAAAUUUAAAAUCAUAGAGCUUUAAGAGCAAUUAAGAUUAAGGAUUUUAUUUUGAUAUAGAUGUUUUAGUUAUAUAUUUUGAAAACUUUCUAAUGAGGGCAUAUAAAAGUAGAUUAAAAUCGGGUCAUUUACACGUAAAGUGAAUUGGACUCUACAGACCAUGGUAUUUUCGGCCUGCAGGCUGAAGAGGGCACUCUUCCACAAGUUGGCAGAAGAACCUUUCCCUCAAUCACAACUAAUAUAGAGUUCAUGUUUUUGGAAGUCAACAUGAUUAUAUUUUCUUAUUUCAUAAUGUUCGUUUAUAUACACGUUCUUUGUUCAGCUUUGUUUUUGUUCCUUAGGGGUGUACUUUUUAAUCUGUUGUUAUGUACAGAGGUAAAAAAAAAAAAAAGAUACAAUGUUUGUACAAUGCAGAGUCAGAAGUUAACUAAAGUAGUGUCAUACAAUGUAAAUGGCUUGGGGAAUCACAUUAAGAGAAGUAAAAUUAUGUCUAAACUAAAAAGAGAAGGGAUAUAGGUUGUCCUUUUACAGGAAACCCACUUAUCGCAGUCAGAGCAUGGAAAACUUAAGAAAUGGAAAUUUAGCCAGUACUCAUCUUCUUGCACUCAGGGAUCUAAAAGGGGUGUGGUAAUUUUAAUAUCAAGCAAGUUAAAUUUUGAAUGCACUCGAGAGAGAAGGGAUAAGGAUGGGAGAUUUGUGCUAGUGAAGGGAUACUUAGAGGGCAUAUUGAUUACUUUUGUAAAUGUAUAUGCUCCCCCAGGAUCAGAGUUAAAUUUCUUUAAACAACUUUUUGAAUUGAUUACUGUAGAGGCGCAAGGCAUUUUAAUUUUGGGAGGGGAUUUGAAUGUACGACUCUGUCCAUCCUUAGAUUCAUCAAACCCACACGCCCCGGGAUUAAACAAAAUAACUACAAAUAUUAAACUAGUUUUAAAGGACUUAGGGCUUAUAGACGUUUGGAGAGAGCUAAACCCGACAA